This 270-nucleotide ribosomal RNA is filed under the name uncultured methanogenic archaeon. Its description in RNAcentral is "partial 16S ribosomal RNA". It matches the Rfam family "Archaeal small subunit ribosomal RNA", at positions 1029 to 1296 of the family's 1478-position model. The record is from RNAcentral. Lineage: Archaea; Methanobacteriati; Methanobacteriota.
UUAAGUCAGGCAACGAGCGAGACCCACGCCCUUAGUUACCAGCUUGUUCUUUUUUGGAUGCUGGGCACACUAAGGGGACCGCCAAUGAUAAAUAGGAGGAAGGAGUGGACGACGGUAGGUCCGUAUGCCCCGAAUCCUCUGGGCAACACGCGGGCUACAAUGGCUGAGACAAUGGGUUCCGACACCGAAAGGUGGAGGUAAUCCUCUAAACUUAGUCGUAGUUCGGAUUGAGGACUGUAACUCGUUCUCAUGAAGCUGGAAUGCGUAGUA